UUUAGAAUUUUUGAAAAAGAUGUUGUUUUUUUCAUUUGUAUUUGCAAAAGCAGUUUAACAAUAUUUGCUUAAUUGUAAAAGUUUUUAUCAAUAAAUGUUGAAUUGAACAGAAAAUCCUACUAAAUGUAAAAAUUAUGUUUUAUUCAAAUUAUUUGUCUCUUAUAUACAGGGAAAAUUAAAAAAGAACUAAUUCUUAAAGAAAUUGUGGCUCAAUAUUAGAAAAGAUAGAUUAAUGUGCCUUGUUAUAAGUGUAGUGUGUUUCCUUACAACUGAAAUUGAUGUUAAAUAUAUUUGAUGUAAUGUGCCUUGAAGCAGAUAUGAUUUAGGUUAUCAUUAGGUACAAUUAUUGACGAUAUUUCAAGGUUCCAUACAUGUACUUGAGAAAUUAAUGUUCAAAAGACCUGGGUACAUUUAAAGGUGCUGAUUCAGUGUGUUGUGAACAUGCAAUGUCAUUUGUGUACAUUACCCAUAGUUUCAUGAGGUUGCUAUUGUGAUGGGGUCUUCCCUAUCUUACAUGUGUAAGAGUCUUCUGAAGAUGAAAAGUGUCUCUGGUGUAACAAAUAAUUAGCAUUGUAUUUUUAAAUGAAUUUUUACUCAUCUUCUGAAAUUAUAAGAUAUAUACUUCUUUUCUUACAAUUUUUAAUCAUUUUGAAUAUGAAUAGGUGAGAGAGAAAAAUGAACACUUGCAAGAGUGCAAACCUUGAAAUUUGAUCAACAUACCAGGGAAUAUUUUGUUUUUCUGACUUACUCUAUUUAUGUCUGCAACACGAUUUUAUUUUUGAGUACAACGAUUUCCUGUUUAUUUUUAUUGUUAUUGAAAUGAAAGAGGUUUUUGUUUUAUGUAAAAAAAAAUUAAUGACCUUGACUGGCUAUAAAGCCCUCACAGGGUCAGUCAAUCAUAUCUGCCUAUUGAAGUUUUUUUUCCUUUAUGCCUAUUGACUUUAAAACAUUUCAAUUCUUUAAUCUAAUUAAGAAUCAUGUGCACCUGUUUGAUUAGCAUACACCUGUACUUGUUAAAUCAUAUUUGUUAUGUUCAUAGCAUAGACACUGAAUAUAUGUGACCUACAUUUUGCAUACAAACUACAUUUGCUCAAAUAUACAUUAUGUUAUUCAUCACAGUACAUGGACAGGGGAAGACAACUCUCUACUAUUUCUGUAUUACAUUUGUUGCUUGUCUUAAGUCUAAUUCAUUUUUCCUCAAGGUUUGACUCUUCAUUUAUCAGGUUUAAACUUUUAACUUGAUUUUUGUCCCAUAAAGAAAUAUAUACAGUUGUUUAGAUUGAAAACUUUCUCUUCAUUUUUGAUAAAGCUGUCUAUCAUGUCUAUAGCAAAUUUCCAUUUGAAUAAUCAAUAAACAUUUUUUUCUGUGAUAACCAUUUAUUUCAGUUAUUCAUAUUUUCGAUAUUUUAAUUAGAUAACAAUAUUAUUGCAGAAAUAUCAUCAUAUUUCUUCAUACUAUAAAAUGUUUUUUUUAUCCCAAAUAAUUUAAUGGAAAGUAAACUUUUGCUUUGUUAUUAAAAACAUAUAGCCUUCAGUAGAAAUGUGUACCUAUAAAUGAAAACUGAACCAAACAAUUUAUAAAUGAUUUACCCCAAUGUGAUACUCUGGUGAUGUUGGAUGGAGAUAUAUGAUUUUAUAGCUUAUUUUAUAUUAAAAUCGUUUCAAACUGAGAAAUCCACAUCACUACCUCUAUAUAUAUAUAUCCCCUGUCCAUCAAUUACCAUUAUAUAUCAGAAAAAUUGUUGUUUAUGUAUA
This 1755-nucleotide long non-coding RNA is filed under the name Mytilus galloprovincialis (Mediterranean mussel). The record is from RNAcentral. Lineage: Eukaryota; Metazoa; Mollusca; Bivalvia; Mytilida; Mytilidae.